RNAcentral lists this transfer RNA (63 nucleotides) under Ictidomys tridecemlineatus (thirteen-lined ground squirrel). RNAcentral describes it as "Spermophilus tridecemlineatus (thirteen-lined ground squirrel) tRNA". It matches the Rfam family "tRNA". Rfam says of the family: Transfer RNA (tRNA) molecules are approximately 80 nucleotides in length. Their secondary structure includes four short double-helical elements and three loops (D, anti-codon, and T loops). Lineage: Eukaryota; Metazoa; Chordata; Mammalia; Rodentia; Sciuridae. The record is from Rfam by way of RNAcentral.
GGGGAUGUAGCUCAGUGGCAGAGCGCUUGCCUAGCAUGCACUGGGCUCUCAGUUCCAUCCCCA